This 336-nucleotide ribosomal RNA is filed under the name Salmonella enterica. Its description in RNAcentral is "partial 23S ribosomal RNA". It matches the Rfam family "Bacterial large subunit ribosomal RNA", at positions 470 to 706 of the family's 2925-position model. Lineage: Bacteria; Pseudomonadati; Pseudomonadota; Gammaproteobacteria; Enterobacterales; Enterobacteriaceae. RNAcentral also lists the same sequence under 2 other names. The record is from RNAcentral.
AUACUCCUGACUGACCGAUAGUGAACCAGUACCGUGAGGGAAAGGCGAAAAGAACCCCGGCGAGGGGAGUGAAAAAGAACCUGAAACCGUGUACGUACAAGCAGUGGGAGCCCCACCACCAAAGCAUUCUCUGGUGUUGAAGGCCCUGCAAAGCAGCAUCGCGGUGGCGGAGCGUCGUUUGCGACGCCCAACACACAAAACAAGCGGUGAGUGCUUUGGGGUGGGGUGACUGCGUACCUUUUGUAUAAUGGGUCAGCGACUUAUAUUCUGUAGCAAGGUUAACCGAAUAGGGGAGCCGGAGGGAAACCGAGUCUUAAUUGGGCGUUAAGUUGCAGG